Molecule: long non-coding RNA, 756 nt
Organism: Photinus pyralis (common eastern firefly)
Lineage: Eukaryota; Metazoa; Arthropoda; Insecta; Coleoptera; Lampyridae
Exons: 3
Source: RefSeq, a predicted model, not a curated record
AGCGGACACUAGUGGAUGCACCAUCGUCUGGUUGGUGUAAUGAAAAAUUGAUAAUUGUUGUUUUAUUAGAAUUAAGCUUUAAAUUAUGCAGAAAACACCACUUUUCGAUUUUUUAAGGUUUUCCGUAAUGCUGGCGUAAGCUGUGUGAAGGUCCUUGCUACUGCAGUAGCAGUACCUACCUAAUCGCCAGCAAUCCAAAACGAUGGCACUAUUCCAAAACUGCAGCGAAUUAGCACGGACCUUGGUCGCUUAUCAACCCUGAUGAGAUGGUCAGCAAAGCGCAACAUUCAUUCAGCAGAUAUGAGCACUAUUCACCACAUCAAAUCCGACACUGUCAUCAACGAGUGUUCCAGCCGUCAACGGUACCUAGUUCUACAAUUGUGGAAAAUGUAUAAUGAACAUAAAUCCCUGUAUUUAUUUAUUGUCAAAACAAAAAAUAUAAUAUAAUAUAUAGGUACAAGGGAUUUUGGAAAUCUGGAAAAUACCAGUCACUUGGUGAAGCUACAGAUCAGUGCAACUAGGCCUAAACCCCUUUGAGGCCGCAUUCCGUCUAGAGGAAGGGUGCAACGAUGCCAUCUUAGGAAAUCGUCAAAGCGGUAUCGGGCGACCAAACAACGUACCAACACUCAAUCUUUCAUUCGUAUCAAGAGUGUUGUCAAGUAUCAAGUAAGAGAAGCUUAUAUGAGAUUUUAAGAGAAAUUUAAAAAAAGUGAUUCAAAAAAGUUAAGAGUGAUUCAAAAAAGUGAUUCGAAAAAG